RNAcentral lists this transfer RNA (75 nucleotides) under Candidatus Bathyarchaeota archaeon. Its description in RNAcentral is "tRNA-Val". It matches the Rfam family "tRNA". Rfam says of the family: Transfer RNA (tRNA) molecules are approximately 80 nucleotides in length. Their secondary structure includes four short double-helical elements and three loops (D, anti-codon, and T loops). Lineage: Archaea; Thermoproteati; Candidatus Bathyarchaeota. RNAcentral also lists the same sequence under 1 other name. The record is from RNAcentral.
GGGCCGGUGGUCUAGUGGUAUGACACCGCCUUGACGUGGCGGUGGUCGCCGGUUCGAUCCCGGCUCGGCCCACCA